This 400-nucleotide ribosomal RNA is filed under the name uncultured bacterium. RNAcentral describes it as "bacterial SSU rRNA". It matches the Rfam family "Bacterial small subunit ribosomal RNA", at positions 359 to 776 of the family's 1533-position model. The record is from RNAcentral.
GAAUCUUGGACAAUGGGCGCAAGCCUGAUCCAGCCAUGCCGCGUGAGUGAUGAAGGCCCUAGGGUUGUAAAGCUCUUUCGGCGGGGAAGAUAAUGACGGUACCCGCAGAAGAAGCCCCGGCCAACUACGUUCCAGCAGCCGCGGUAAUACGAAGGGGGCUAGCGUUGCUCGGAAUCACUGGGCGUAAAGCGCACGUAGGCGGAUCAUUAAGUCGGGGGUGAAAUCCCGGAGCUCAACUCCGGAACUGCCUUCGAUACUGGCGAUCUUGAGUCCGGGAGAGGUGAGUGGAACUGCGAGUGUAGAGGUGAAAUUCGUAGAUAUUCGCAAGAACACCAGUAGCGAAGGCGGCUCACUGGCCCGGUACUGACGCUGAGGUGCGAAAGCGUGGGGAGCAAACAGG